GAUGAACGCUGGCGGCGUGCUUAACACAUGCAAGUCGAGCGGGAAGUUUUGAAAAGAUUCUUCGGAUGAAAUUUAAAAUGGAAAGCGGCGGACGGGUGAGUAACGCGUAGGCAACCUGCCCCAUACAAAGGGAUAGCAUUUGGAAACGAAUAUUAAUACCUUAUGAAACUUAACUAGUGCAUGCUAGGUAGGUCAAAGAUUUAUCGGUAUGGGAUGGGCCUGCGUCUGAUUAGCUAGUUGGUGAGGUAACGGCUCACCAAGGCGACGAUCAGUAGCCGACCUGAGAGGGUGAACGGCCACAUUGGAACUGAGACACGGUCCAAACUCCUACGGGAGGCAGCAGUGGGGAAUAUUGCACAAUGGGGGAAACCCUGAUGCAGCAACGCCGCGUGAACGAUGAAGGCCUUUGGGUCGUAAAGUUCUGUUCUAGGUGAUGAAAACUGACAGUAACCUAGGAGAAAGCCCCGGCUAACUCCGUG
Molecule: ribosomal RNA, 479 nt
Filed under: uncultured bacterium
Lineage: Bacteria
Description: partial 16S ribosomal RNA
Rfam family: Bacterial small subunit ribosomal RNA
Source: RNAcentral